GCAGCGACGCCGCGUGAGGGAUGACGGCCUUCGGGUUGUAAACCUCUUUCGCCAGGGACGAAGCGCAAGUGACGGUACCUGGAGAAGAAGCACCGGCCAACUACGUGCCAGCAGCCGCGGUAAUACGUAGGGUGCGAGCGUUGUCCGGAAUUACUGGGCGUAAAGAGCUCGUAGGUGGUUUGUCGCGUUGUUCGUGAAAACUCACAGCUUAACUGUGGGCGUGCGGGCGAUACGGGCAGACUGGAGUACUGCAGGGGAGACUGGAAUUCCUGGUGUAGCGGUGGAAUGCGCAGAUAUCAGGAGGAACACCGGUGGCGAAGGCGGGUCUCUGGGCAGUAACUGACGCUGAGGAGCGAAAGCGUGGGGGAGCGAACAGGAUUAGAUACCCUGGUAGUCCACGCCGUAAACGGUGGGUACUAGGUGUGGGUUUCCUUCCUUGGGAUCCGUGCCGUAGCUAACGCAUUAAGUACCCCGCCUGGGGAGUACGGCCGCAAGGCUAAAACUCAAAGGAAUUGACGGGGGCCCGCACAAGCGGCGGAGCAUGUGGAUUAAUUCGAUGCAACGCGAAGAACUUACCUGGGUUUGACAUGCACAGGACGACUGCAGAG
Molecule: ribosomal RNA, 608 nt
Filed under: Mycobacterium sp.
Lineage: Bacteria; Bacillati; Actinomycetota; Actinomycetes; Mycobacteriales; Mycobacteriaceae
Description: bacterial SSU rRNA
Rfam family: Bacterial small subunit ribosomal RNA
Source: RNAcentral